CACUUCAUGGGCGCAGUGCUGCAUGUACUGAUCACUGGUGCCACACUCGCUGUGCUGUGUAGGAUGUCUUAUAAGGCACAUUCAGUGGGACUUGGGUUAUCUGCAUUAGAGGAAUAUAAAAAGCAGCCCUAGAAAACUAACACAGAUGAAGACCUCAAAAUUAAAACCUGAUUAAACCAAACUAUUUUGAUGAUGGUGUAAGCAAAGUAGCAAAAUGAAAAGGAACAUAUACAACCUCAAAAAGACUAGAAAGAAAUUACAACUCUCUACUUCUGCAGAGAAUCUGGUUAAAGAGAUCGUGACUCAGGAACACUGAAAAACAAACCCUAAAGCAGGAGAUAGAAUAACAACAAAUCAGAAAAUUAAAGCUUGAAGGUACCCCAUGGAUACUUUGGUUAACCUUCAUUGACAUAUGGAAAACCAUGGUCCCAGGAGAUCAAGCAGCUUGCCAAAGGACUCCCUGGUGACAGAGCCAAGCUUGUCUGGAUGUCCGCAUAGUACGUUUCUCAGGUUCCUGCCAAGACACUCUCCUGCAUCAGAUUUCUAAACAUGCUUCCCCUGUGGUUCCUUUGCUCUCAUCCAGAGCCACCCUGAAGAAAUGAGGCCAGAGCCUUGCUUAGGUCGGAGAAAGAAGAAAACUGAGUCUGAAAGAGAAAGGAACUUGGCAAAAGUCAUGCAAAUAGUCAAGUCUCUGUCUCCAGCACUCCUAGGGGAACUAACUGGGAAUCAAGAACUUCUUGGUAUUGGAGGGCACCUCAGUGGAAUGUUGUAAUCACAUACAUGGAGAAUAAUUCUGAGCACACUAAUCAGUUCAGCUUUGGCUUCUAUUUUGAUUUGUUUGGACAAGGUUCAAACCUGAAUUUCCCAUUUUGAUUUUAUUUAGUUAUUUGAAUUACUAUAAUCUUAAAGCUUGCUUAAAUGUUGUUUCUUCUUUGUUUUCUCUGCUCAUGAGUCAAUAUAUACCUUCACCUUCAUUCCAUUGCAAGGGGUAGCUGCUUGCUCGUCAGCCACAGGACCCUGGCUGUUCCUUCCAAAUGGAGAGGAGUGGAGUCUACUCCUCAUCAGCUUACUUGCAUCUUUCUGCACUUUCAGCACAGCAAUGAAUAAAUGCAGCAAUUGCCAUAGCAGUAAAAUCUCCUGUGCUUUUUCCCCUCUUCAGAUUUUCUUUCAGUCCCUUUCACUUUAUAGUGACCUCCCUUUCGGUUCUCAGGAUCUUGACAGACAUGGUUACUUUACAGAGACAGGUUUUAACAUUGUAGGAAAGAUUUUGUUAUUAUUCCAGUGUUAGCUUUUUGUCACUGGGACAUGACAUACACAGUUUAAAGGAGAAAAAGUGUACUUUGGCUCACUGUUUUAGAGGUCUCAGACCAUGGUCAGCUGGCUCUGAGAGAGAAACAGUACAGUGGAGGAAAGCGGUUCACUUUGUGGCAGCCAGAAAGCAGAGAGAACUGAAGAGUCAGAGUGGAAGGGGCUAGGGACAAAACUCCAGCAACCUUCUUCCACAAUCUGUGCCCUACCUCUUAACGGCCCAUUCUGCUAUGAAUUCAUAAGUGGAUUAACUCAUGAAUGAGGUUAGCACCCUCAAUACAUGAGUCUUUGGAGGACACUUCAUAUUUAAAUCACAACAUCCCAUAUCUUCCCUUCAGCCCUGUGGUUUCAACACUGACCAGCUCACCAUGAGCUUUUCUAGGCUCCACUCCCGCCAAGCUGUCCCUGGAGUCUGUGGGGGCUCUGUGUGAACAGGUUCCUCGGCCUCACCACCUCUCUUCUCCUUGGCAGGGACACGUGGCACACUCCGUGGGGGAGUAAUUGAGCAGAUGUGAGCAGCCGUCUUCAGGUUGUGGGCGAGAGGCACAAAGCCUGUCCUCCCAGAAAACACGAUAAAACCCAUUUCUAUGUCCUAGAUCCUCACAUUUAGCAGAGGGCGGCCUUUUUCGUACUACAGCCACGUGUCAAAUGCCAUGUGGCACGGGGAAUUCUACAGAGGCGUGGAAAGGGGUGAUUCCCUCUUUGUCUCAGGCCUGUCUCACCUACAUCGACUUUGUUAGAUGCUGUGCUUAGGAAAGGGCAUUAGAGAUUGGAAAGUUCUCACACAGAAAUCUUGACUUUUAUACUGAAUCAUUCUGAAUUAUUUUGAGUCCUAGUACUUUCUGAAAUCUUUGAAGUAGCACACAUUUUCUUUUUAGUUUCUUAUGAGCUAUCUUAACUCUCUGUACUGAAUAAUAAGAAGACUCCUAUUCCUAAUCCUUCACCUACAUUCUCUCUCUCCCUCCUGCCUAUUUCUUCUCUAUAUCAUGCCAUUCCUUAACAUUUACUUCUUUCAGUCUUCAAAGCUCUUUGCAAUGUAUUAACCUGGUUGCCAAAGGCUGCGUGGGAACACCCACCCAAACCCUGUGUAAUGUUGUAAUCAGAAACCAGGUAACAUGAUAAGCCUGCCGAUAACUUAUGGAUACUAACACUGUUACCUAUUCCCCGCCUACCUCCUCAGUGAGCAUUAAAGUUGUGUCUUUGCUUUUCUUGCCUGCCACUUGCUACUAAACCUCCCAUUCUUCUUGUGUUCCUGGUUCUUUGUUGAUUAGCCCUUCCUUCCUCUGUAAUAGAAGCCUUGGAGACAGGAAAAAUAGCAGUUUCCUGUUCUGCUUGUUUAUUAUGUUUAAUUAACUCCUCUAUGGCAAUUCUAUGUUUAUUGGCCAGGAUAAC
This is a non-coding RNA of Heterocephalus glaber (naked mole-rat), 2700 nucleotides long. NCBI's taxonomy places the organism in Eukaryota, Metazoa, Chordata, Mammalia, Rodentia, Bathyergidae. The record is from RefSeq and is a predicted model, not a curated record.